AACGAACGCUGGCGGCAGGCUUAACACAUGCAAGUCGAACGCUCGUAGCAAUACGGGAGUGGCGGACGGGUGAGUAACGCGUGGGAACGUGCCCUGAGGUACGGAAUAACUGAGGGAAACUUCAGCUAAUACCGUAUGAGCCCCGAGAGGGGGGAAGAUUUUAUCGCCUUGGGGAGCGGCCCGCGUCGGAUUAGCUAGUUGGUGGGGUAACGGCCUACCAAGGCUUCGAUCCGUAGCUGGUCUGAGAGGACGAUCAGCCACACUGGGACUGAGACACGGCCCAGACUCCUACGGGAGGCAGCAGUGGGGAAUCUUGCGCAAUGGGGGGCAACCCUGACGCAGCCAUGCCGCGUGAACGAUGAAGGCCUUAGGGUUGUAAAGUUCUUUACCCGUGACGAUGAUG
RNAcentral lists this ribosomal RNA (403 nucleotides) under uncultured bacterium. Its description in RNAcentral is "bacterial SSU rRNA". It matches the Rfam family "Bacterial small subunit ribosomal RNA", at positions 29 to 453 of the family's 1533-position model. The record is from RNAcentral.